RNAcentral lists this small RNA (81 nucleotides) under Flavobacterium weaverense. RNAcentral describes it as "Flavo-1 RNA". It matches the Rfam family "Flavo-1 RNA". The record is from RNAcentral. Lineage: Bacteria; Pseudomonadati; Bacteroidota; Flavobacteriia; Flavobacteriales; Flavobacteriaceae.
UUUUAGCCCAGAUAGCAGUGGAAAUCCUGUCAUUGCGAGGAACGAAGCAAUCACAGAUUGUAACGGAUAGCUGGAAAUAGC